UACGUAGGGGGCAAGCGUUGUCCGGAAUCAUUGGGCGUAAAGAGCGUGUAGGCGGCCUGGAAAGUCUGGUGUGAAAUCUUGGGGCUCAACCCCAAGCGGUCACUGGAUACUCUCAGGCUUGAAUCUGGAAGAGGAGAGUGGAAUUCCCGGUGUAGCGGUGGAAUGCGCAGAUAUCAGGAGGAACACCAGCGGCGAAGGCAGCUCUCUGGUACAUGAUUGACGCUGAGACGCGAAAGCGUGGGUAGCAAACAGG
RNAcentral lists this ribosomal RNA (253 nucleotides) under uncultured bacterium. RNAcentral describes it as "partial 16S ribosomal RNA". It matches the Rfam family "Bacterial small subunit ribosomal RNA", at positions 524 to 776 of the family's 1533-position model. The record is from RNAcentral.